GUUUUCUUGAAUUCGAGAAUAGGAGAUUUAACCUGCCCACUGAGUUAUUGAAGGGCCGCAGUAUUUUGACUGUGCAAAGGUAGCAUAAUCAUUAGUCUUUUAAUUGAGGGCUGGUAUGAAUGGUUGGACGAGGUAAAGGCUGUUUUAUUUUGAUUAAAAUUGAACUUAAAUUUUAAGUAAAAAUGCUUAAAUGUUAUUAAGGGACGAGAAGACCCUAUAGAGUUUAAUAUAAGUAAUUUUAAUUAAGUUGAUAAAACUGUUAGUAAUUUUUGUAAAUUGUAUUUGAUUGGGGUGAUUGGAAUAUAGAAAAAACUAUUUUUUGUGUUAAAUAUUGUUUUUAGAAUGAUGAUCCAUGAAUUCAUGAUUAGAAGAUUAAAUUACCUUAGGGAUAACAGCAUAAUUUUUCUUGAGAGUUCUUAUUGAGAGAAGGGAUUAUGACCUCGAUGUUGGAUUAAGAUAUAAAUUAGGUGUAGAUGUUUAAUUAUUAGGUCUGUUCGACCUUUAAAAUCUUACA
Molecule: ribosomal RNA, 514 nt
Filed under: Dystacta alticeps
Lineage: Eukaryota; Metazoa; Arthropoda; Insecta; Mantodea; Mantidae
Description: partial 16S ribosomal RNA
Rfam family: Bacterial large subunit ribosomal RNA
Source: RNAcentral